RNAcentral lists this ribosomal RNA (253 nucleotides) under uncultured bacterium. RNAcentral's name for it is "partial 16S ribosomal RNA". It matches the Rfam family "Bacterial small subunit ribosomal RNA", at positions 524 to 776 of the family's 1533-position model. The record is from RNAcentral.
UACAGAGGUGGCAAGCGUUGUUCGGAAUUACUGGGCGUAAAGGGCGCGUAGGCGGUCUGGUCAGUCCCUUGUGAAAUCCCCCGGCUCAACUGGGGAACUGCACGGGAAACAGCCGGGCUUGAGUUCGGGAGAGGGAAGCGGAAUUCCGGGUGUAGCGGUGAAAUGCGUAGAUAUCCGGAGGAACACCGGUGGCGAAGGCGGCUUCCUGGACCAGUACCGACGUUCAGGCACGAAAGCGUGGGGAGCAAACAGG